CCUUAAACAUUUACGGUAUCGUUGUCUUUUUAAAUAGUUAUAUAGGCUUCACAUGGAGAAUUUUGGAAACACAGAAGAGUAAAAUCAAAUAAAAAUCAUCUAAAAUAUCACCUUCAAGAGAAAGUUGUAGUCACUAUGAACAUUCUGGUUUGUAUUGUCUUUUGGUCUUUUGCAUUUAUACCCUUUUCCUAGAUAAAAGUGGAAUUAAUGUAUGUGACUUUGAUUUCAUUAUGAACAUGUACAAGGAGUGUUUCUACAAAUGCCCUUUCUGUUGUCAUUUUCCCUGGAGAUUAAAAUCUCAAACUAGAUGCACUUCCUCUGUCACAGCUUAUUCACAUAAGCAGCCUUCUUAAAACCAAUGGUCCCCACUAAUAAGACAUACACAUGAAUGCCCCACAGCCAAGUACAUUAAAGGAGAAACAGCUACCCCUUCUUUAUAUUUUUGCAUGUACAACAGACAUUGGCUGAGAUGUAUCAGCUGCUCUGAAGGGCAAGAUUGGAAAAUUAAACUUCCAUGAACCAAAAGUCAAAAAUCAAAGCACAAUCACCCAUGCCACAUUGAACUUGGAAGGAUGUAUAAAUAAGAUAAUGCUUUGAACAAACACUGCUGGAAUAUGGAAGAAGUCGUUCUUAGCCAAGCAUUGCCUUUGAGGUUCACUCCAAAAACCAGGCAACCCUUUGGGAGAGCUGGCCUCAUAAUUCUGAGUGUCUCAAGUGUGGCAAUUCCAGUUCAUGAGUGCUAACAUGAUUUGUGAAGACGAUACACACACAACUGGCCUCAUACUCAAAGUCUGACAAGAUCUUUUUCCUGGCAUGUAUUGCUGGCUGAUUGCUCUCAGUCCUUAAGAUGGAGGAGACAUACAGGGAGAAUGCUUUGGAGGCGAAUACAGAACCUGUAAUUUCUCACAUUUCUCUUUGCUUGGUAGUUAAUGAGCAAACAUUCCCUUCUCCACCUUAUCUCUUUUGAGGUCAUAUCAGCAAUUAUCUGCCCUCAGUGCAAAACUACCUGAAUAAUUCUUAAUGCAGAAGAGCUUAUCAGUUGUCUUUCAUUCCCUUUUGUCCAAGAAUGAUCAGCAGUAAAAUAUUUCAAACACACAGAAAAAGAGAGGUAAAUAAAACCACCCAGACUUGACAGAGGUGAACACUCCACUGUAUGCAUACACUUAAUAUAUUUUUAAAUAAAGCUCUUCACUCAUCACUGCCACAUUUAUAAGACUAUUUGGCUUUUUGCUGUAACAGGUCCUAUGAACACAUCUUUGUGUAUAAAUCUCUGAAGUGGCUGCACAGCUCUCAGCUCCACAGUCUGUACUGUUCCAAUAUGGCCCACGUCACAGGGCAGGGGCUGAGACCAAGUGCUGUGGUGGUUGCAGUGUGGCUUUGGGUCCAUUCAGAUUUGAGUUCCAAUCCUGCCAACUAGCCAAGCAAGUUUUGACAGAUGUCUGUACCUCGUUUCUCAUUUAUAAAAUAGGAAUAAUAACACCUACCUUGUAGAGAUGUUGGGAGGUGAUGUUAAGUAAAGCAUCGGAAGAGUACCCAGCAUGUGCUAAGUGGUUAAGAUCAGCUUGUGCAUCUCUUGCAUGUACCAAACAACCCUUACAGAGCAUGGGUCCAUAUCCAACUGAAACCAAUCAACCACUACCUAGAUAAUUAAGAUAAUUAACAACCCCUUACAUGCGGGCUGAUACAUGUCACCAUCUCUAGCUCAGUGAAAUGGCAGUCUUUUUUUUUUUUUUUUUUUUUUUUUUUUUUUUAAUAUUGGUUACAAAAGCAAGGUGCCCUGUGACCACAGACAUUAUUUGGCUGUCUUUAUUUAAGCAUCUUCUUCUUUUCAUAUCCUUAGGUUUGUCUAUUGUCCUUAGAGCAAAUGGCCUUUAAAAGGCCACACCGUUUAACUCAGUGGUUCUUAACCAUGGCUGAGGCUCAAACUCA
Molecule: long non-coding RNA, 1929 nt
Filed under: Sus scrofa (pig)
Lineage: Eukaryota; Metazoa; Chordata; Mammalia; Artiodactyla; Suidae
Description: lncRNA (ENSSSCG00045013126.1)
Source: RNAcentral